Molecule: unclassified non-coding RNA, 1849 nt
Filed under: Hevea brasiliensis (rubber tree)
Lineage: Eukaryota; Viridiplantae; Streptophyta; Magnoliopsida; Malpighiales; Euphorbiaceae
Source: RNAcentral
UAUCAGAGACAACUUAUUCUUACAUGGUGAAUAGCUAUCAGAGUAGGCAUCAAAACUUCCCGGCCUUAGCUUUGGUGAGCUCAUUGACCUUGCUUUUGCCUUUGCAGACUCUGUUGCAGCCAUGUAAGUUGGGAAAACCGGAGAAUUCAAGGGAGAACUGUCAUAUCCUUCGGUAUUCCGUUGUGUGCGACAAAAUGAUCUUCUUGGAAAUGAUACUGGUGAAUUCAAUCCUUCUAUGGAAUCUUGUUUCCGUGAACUUCUCGUUUUGACUUGUACUGCACCAAAUAUGUCACCAGUGGAUGGAUCAGAAACGGUAGUUGCUUUCAAAUUCUCUAUCCGUCCUCUAGCGAAUGUAUCUUUGUCCACCAAUUGUUCCAACCAGUGGCUCUGUCUACCAGUUUCCUUGUUGGGUAGUGAUUCUUCCAGCAUACCAGUGUUUCUCCUCUCCUGAAAUAGAUAAUAAUGUAGCACAAUCUGAACAUGAGAAAUGAAGCUUAAUGUUUCAUUUAAUUCCCUGUGAUCAGCAAGGGAAGGAGGGAACAACAGAAAACAGAUGGCAUAUAAGAUAAAGUUACCCGGUGAGAAAAUGAGUAUGUCAUCAUUCGGUCUCUUUUGAUGCUAGCCUCUUGCUUCCUGAACCAUAGGCUUUCUGUGUCUUCCUUUGAAAGCAUACUGUAAUCCCAGCAUCUUUGGCUUUUGCAUUCAAGCAUUUCAAUUGAUUCUAGAUCUUUUUUCUGGUUCUUCCCCUGCACAUAUUAAUACAAAAGUAAUCGUUAAAUUGCAUGAAACCUACUCUUUCAUUUCAAUUACCUUCCACAAGCAGUGUUUCAAGAUUGAAUUUCAGCUGUUAUUUCACAUUAUUCCUCAUAAUUUGCUUCCGAAUUCUCUCCAAAAGACAUUUCAAGAGAAGGGAAAAGAAAACUUCUAAAAUCAUCUCACCUACCUUACUGUCCAUGUCUCCCAACUCCUUGGAUAAUUGUUUUUUUCCACCUCCUUUACAAAUGUUAUCUAUAUUAGGAAUCCUUUUCGAUUGGACCUGUGAUUGCAUCUUCUUCACAUUGGAUGGCAAAUGCUUCAGUUUCAUGACUACUUGUCGUCUCACAGCUUGUCCUCGGACAAUGGCUUGAAGCCUCACUAGUCCCUUCAAUGCUCGCAAAGCUUUCCUCGCAAGAUAUCCACGGAAAGCACUCUGUACUUUAAUGGCAGCAAAGUUUUCAUCUUUCUUGGUGAAAUGAAGACGAGACUGAGAAGAACCAGUGAGCCUAACAACCUCAGCUGCAGCCUGAACAGCAGCAACUGCAACCUCAGCCGCAGCUGCAGUCGCCAGGGCUACACUCACAGAAAACUUUCUCUGCUUUUCUUUUGCUUCAUCGAUUGUCCUCUGAGGUGAUGGCAGGCUUGGAAGCGCAGGGCGUUGUUUAAACUUUAGCCUUCCAAGAAUCCAUCUCCACCUUUUAGAUUUCUUCUCUGUUUUUGGAUUUUCCUCAGAAGCAAACAUCCUUUUGAACCAAACAAACCAGCAAGUCUUCUUUGCCAUGGAAGAUAUUAUAAAAUCAAAUUAAACCAUUUUAAGAAACUUCAUAUUCUUCUUCUUAUUCUUUUUCUAUUGUUAAAAGAACUGCAUCUAUGCAAACCUGAAAUCUCAACAACCCACAAACACCUUAACCAAAUGUACUAAAGAAACAGAAACAUAAAUUUCAAUUCAAGAAAAAGGAAUCAAUCUUUGAAUCUUGAACCCCAGUUCAUGGCGAAGAAAGCAGAGGAUAAUCCAUUGAAAAGUGUGUAUAGAUAAGUGCGUAGGUGAGAGAGAGAGAGAGAGCAAUAUCUAGGGGCCGUGACUGUGACUCUG